GGGAGGGGGCCGGACUGCUCGGGGUGAGGCUGGGCAUCGGUCAGCGAGUGAUGGAAAACAGUCCAUAAGAACGUUGGAAGAGCAGCAGCAGAUGUGAUUGCAAGACAACCAUUUAUUCUGAGGCCUGGAUCUGCUUUGCUGAAUGGUCUAGUAAUGCUGUAUAUUCCACAUGAAUUUUGGGGGUGACACUCAGGAAUAACUGUGGGAGUCACAAUGUUCUCAAAUUAUGUUAAGAUUUAUUUAAAAAUACCAUGUAGCAAGACACACAAGAACUAGAGUGGUUCAGUGUGACAUUGAGUCUGGAAGGUAUCAUUCCACUUUUUCAAAGCUUUUGUUCUCUAGAAUAAAUUUGAGCAAUGGGCUAUGGUAGCUGAUUCAUUUUAUUUAAAAAUACAGUCAUUUUAAGAAAAAUCUGUUCAAAUAUGCAGUGUAUGAAGGUUGAUUAAUUCAAGAUGUUUGAAUUUAGGCAUUCAUUUAGAUGUAGUAGCCCUGUAAUUAGGAUCACACAGGGUGUAAUUUGUCUUUGAUUAAGUAUGUACUCAAUUAAAAAAAUCUCAUGAAUAAUGAUGUGCACAUGGGAAAAAAAUCCACAUAUUUUUUCUUAUAUUCAGAUAUUUUAAACCAAAUAAAACUAUCUAACUUAAUUAUGUGGAACUCUAGUUAAGGCAUUUAUUUUUUCUUGCAUAUUCUUUGUAAGACUGAAAAAAGUAUGGCACAAAUAUGGAAUUUGAAAAGUUUUGUGUAAAAAUAUCACAUAUUUUCUAACCACUAGGUAUGUGUUUAAAUCAGAACAGCUAGAUCCUGAUCCAGAUCCAAUUAGUAGUAGUGGCAGUUGGAGAAUUUUCCAGCUAAAUCAUUAAAUCAAAUGAGUUAAAUCAAA
Molecule: non-coding RNA, 880 nt
Organism: Anas platyrhynchos (mallard)
Lineage: Eukaryota; Metazoa; Chordata; Aves; Anseriformes; Anatidae
Source: RefSeq, a predicted model, not a curated record